This 288-nucleotide ribosomal RNA is filed under the name uncultured bacterium. RNAcentral describes it as "partial 16S ribosomal RNA". It matches the Rfam family "Bacterial small subunit ribosomal RNA", at positions 773 to 1060 of the family's 1533-position model. The record is from RNAcentral.
GUGGAUUAGAUACCCUGGUAGUCCACGCUGUAAACGAUGUCGAUUUGGAGGUUGUGCCCUUGAGGCGUGGCUUCCGGAGCUAACGCGUUAAAUCGACCGCCUGGGGAGUACGGCCGCAAGGUUAAAACUCAAAUGAAUUGACGGGGGCCCGCACAAGCGGUGGAGCAUGUGGUUUAAUUCGAUGCAACGCGAAGAACCUUACCUACUCUUGACAUCCAGAGAAUUUGCUAGAGAUAGCUUAGUGCCUUCGGGAACUCUGAGACAGGUGCUGCACGGUUGUCGUCAGCU